RNAcentral lists this ribosomal RNA (822 nucleotides) under uncultured marine bacterium. RNAcentral describes it as "bacterial SSU rRNA". It matches the Rfam family "Bacterial small subunit ribosomal RNA", at positions 56 to 883 of the family's 1533-position model. The record is from RNAcentral.
UGCAGUCGAGGGAGAAGCAGUUGUUCCGUAAGGUUCGACUGUGGAAACCGGCGAACGGGUGCGUAACACGUGAGAAAUCUGCCCCCCAGACCGGGAUAGCCCAGGGAAACCUGGAUUAAUACCGGAUACUCUCUUUGGAUCGCAUGAUCCUUUGAGGAAAUGGUCCGCUGCUGGGGGAUGGUCUCGCGGCCUAUCAGGUAGUUGGUGAGGUAAUGGCUCACCAAGCCUAAGACGGGUAGCUGGUCUGAGAGGACGAUCAGCCACACUGGAACUGAGACACGGUCCAGACUCCUACGGGAGGCAGCAGCAGGGAAUAUUGCACAAUGGGCGAAAGCCUGAUGCAGCGACACCGCGUGCGGGAUGACGGCCUUAGGGUUGUAAACCGCUUUCGGGAGGGAAGAAAAUGACGGUACCUCCUAAAGAAGCUCCGGCCAACUACGUGCCAGCAGCCGCGGUAAUACGUAGGGAGCAAACGUUGUCCGGAUUUAUUGGGCGUAAAGGGCUCGUAGGCGGUUCAACAAGUCGGUCGUGAAAGCCCGGGGCUCAACCCCGGGAUGCCGGUCGAAACUGUUGUGACUAGAGUUCGGUAGAGGUGAGUGGAAUUCUCGGUGUAGCGGUGGAAUGCGCAGAUAUCGAGAGGAACACCAUUAGCGAAGGCGGCUCACUGGGCCGAUACUGACGCUGAGGAGCGAAAGCGUGGGGAGCAAACAGGAUUAGAUACCCUGGUAGUCCACGCCGUAAACGAUGAACACUAGGUGUAGCGGACUGAUUCACGUCUGCUGCGCCGUAGCUAAUGCAUUAAGUGUUCCGCCUGGGGAGUAC